This 72-nucleotide transfer RNA is filed under the name Camelus bactrianus (Bactrian camel). It matches the Rfam family "tRNA". From Rfam's summary of the family: Transfer RNA (tRNA) molecules are approximately 80 nucleotides in length. Their secondary structure includes four short double-helical elements and three loops (D, anti-codon, and T loops). The record is from Rfam by way of RNAcentral. RNAcentral also lists the same sequence under 2 other names. Lineage: Eukaryota; Metazoa; Chordata; Mammalia; Artiodactyla; Camelidae.
GAGGGUAUAGCUCAGUGGUAGAGUGCAUGCUUAGCAUGCAGGAGGUCUUGGGUUCAAUCCCCAGUAACUCCA